AAGGACAACUGGAUGGACAGUCCCAAAACCCUGGUGGUCUGGUUAGAGGGGCUCACAUGGCACAGGGGUCCUCUUCUCCUUGGAAGCCAUGGGCCAGCUAGGAGACCCCGUCCCAGUGGCAGCCAUGUCCAGCGGCUUCAUCCCGACGACCAGGUGGAUCUGCCUCCUUGAAUGCCUGGCCCUGGCCUUAGUCCACCCCAGGAGUUCCCUCACGGGCCACCUUUCGGGCAUCCUGGCAGGGCUGGUGUUCUCCUUCUUCUGGGGCCAGGGCUGAAGCAACCCAACUCCAUUCUGCUUCCUUUCCCCCCUCAAAAAUAAAACA
Anolis sagrei ordinatus is the source of this 322-nucleotide non-coding RNA. Lineage: Eukaryota; Metazoa; Chordata; Lepidosauria; Squamata; Anolidae. The record is from RefSeq and is a predicted model, not a curated record.